Molecule: ribosomal RNA, 372 nt
Filed under: uncultured organism
Description: bacterial SSU rRNA
Rfam family: Bacterial small subunit ribosomal RNA
Source: RNAcentral
CGUAGGGGGGCGAGCGUUGUCCGGAUUUAUUGGGCGUAAAGAGCUCGUAGGCGGUUCGGUAAGUCGGCUGUGAAAUCUCCACGCUCAACGUGGAGGCGUCAGUCGAAACUGCCGUGACUCGAGUCCGGUAGAGGAGUGUGGAAUUCCCGGUGUAGCGGUGAAAUGCGCAGAGAUCGGGAGGAACACCCGUAGCGAAGGCGGCACUCUGGGCCGGUACUGACGCUGAGGAGCGAAAGCGUGGGGAGCAAACAGGAUUAGAUACCCUGGUAGUCCACGCCGUAAACGUUGGGCACUAGGUGUGGGGCUCUAUCGACGGGUUCCGUGCCGUAGCUAACGCAUUAAGUGCCCGCCUGGGGAGUACGGCGCAAGGCU